GAAUUUAAUAAUAUUAAAUAAAAAAAAAUAUUAAAUAUUAUUUAGUUGGGAGGAUUAAUAAAUUAAUAAAACUUUAUUAAAAAAAUAAAAUCAUUAAUUUAUGAAAUUAAUGAAAAUAAUAUAAGUAUAUAAAUUAAAAUUAAUUACCUUAGGGAUAACAGCAUAAAAUUAUUUUUUAGAUCAUAUAAAAAAUAAUAAUUGU
RNAcentral lists this ribosomal RNA (202 nucleotides) under Leptogenys sp. 05.FGSGt. Its description in RNAcentral is "partial large subunit ribosomal RNA". Lineage: Eukaryota; Metazoa; Arthropoda; Insecta; Hymenoptera; Formicidae. The record is from RNAcentral.